GACGGGGGGGGCAAGUGUUCUUCGGAAUGACUGGGCGUAAAGGGCACGUAGACGGUGAAUCGGGUUGAAAGUGAAAGUCGCCAAAAAGUGGCGGAAUGCUCUCGAAACCAAUUCACUUGAGUGAGACAGAGGAGAGUGGAAUUUCGUGUGUAGGGGUGAAAUCCGUAGAUCUACGAAGGAACGCCAAAAGCGAAGGCAGCUCUCUGGGUCACUACCGACGCUGGGGUGCGAAAGCAUGGGGAGCGAACAGG
This 251-nucleotide ribosomal RNA is filed under the name uncultured bacterium. RNAcentral describes it as "partial 16S ribosomal RNA". It matches the Rfam family "Bacterial small subunit ribosomal RNA", at positions 524 to 776 of the family's 1533-position model. The record is from RNAcentral.